RNAcentral lists this non-coding RNA (289 nucleotides) under Marmota monax (woodchuck). Lineage: Eukaryota; Metazoa; Chordata; Mammalia; Rodentia; Sciuridae. The record is from RNAcentral.
AGGCCGCUUCCCUAUUAGUUCAAGACCAGCUUGAGUUAGGACACAUGGUGCCCUCUACCUCCCCUUGGAAUACCCCUAUUUUUGUUAUACAAAAGGGGUCUGGGAAGUGGAGGCUUCUUCAGGACCUACGGGCUAUCAGUAAAACUAUGCAGCCCAUGGGACCCUUACAACCAGGGCUACCCUUUCCUACUGUGAUCCCAAAGGAUUGGCACCUUAUUGUCAUAGAUUUAAAGGAUUGUUUCUUCUCUAUCCCCUUAGACCCUCGGGACCGAAAGCGUUUCGCCUUCUC